This is a long non-coding RNA of Glycine soja, 1647 nucleotides long. RefSeq lists it as uncharacterized. The record is from RefSeq and is a predicted model, not a curated record. Lineage: Eukaryota; Viridiplantae; Streptophyta; Magnoliopsida; Fabales; Fabaceae. The transcript has 2 exons.
GAAUAGAGGAAGAAAAGGCUGAGAGAGCCAGGAUCCCUCCACUGCCAUGCCGCCCUAGUGCUAAGUAGUCAUGGCUCUAUGAUCAUUUUUUCUGACCCCAAUAGCUAACCAAGACAACUCAUCAUGCAUGUUCCCUUUCAAAACUUUCUUAGCUGUGCUGUGCUCUCUUCUAAUUCAUUUCACUGUGCAUCUCUCGUACCCUUUCUUUAAUUCACUGUUACACAAGAUGGGUUAUGUCUCUCAACACCUUCCCCCUUCUCUCCUUUUACAUUUUUCACUUCUUCUAUAUAUACUCUACUACACCACUGUGUGUUUUGACAUUACAGACUUUAGUUUUAUCGUCUCUGGCCCUUAGUUUAUAUCCCUUUGUGUAUCUAAUCUUCCACCUAUUCAUCUCGUUGUUUUCUUCUGCCUCACAAGUUUGGAAUGAAACCAAACCAAUCUUGUCCUUUCACCACCUAGAGUUUUCCUUCCCGUCCUCUUAAUUCUCCUUCAUAUAGCUUAUUUUAACUGCAUGGCUUUUACAGUGUACUACAGUACAUUAUUCACCUCCAGCAUUCAAAGUGUAUGAUCUACAUUCCUCCGUUUGUCUUUUGUGGUUCCAUGUGUUUCUUUUCUGUACAACCAGAUGUAAGUGGUGAACUCGGAGAUUACAAUGUUGAGGUGAAAUAAAGGGUCACAAAGGAAAAAGUGAAGCUGCCAGCAUGAUCUAGCUUUGGUUAGUGGGAGCGAGAGAGUGCUAACCCUCACUAGGUCAUGCUGUGCUAGCCUCACUCCUUCCUAUUUGGAGACCAAUAUAUUCCUAACAAUCUCAAAGAUACGAACCUUGCUAUCUACCUAAAAGUAAAAGGCACGCAUAGUCUAUUCUUCUUUCUGCGUUUCAAUCAUGAUUGGUGUCGGGAAGUCUUUGCAUUUAGCGUUCCAACCAACAAAUUAAACGAAAUGUGUGUUGCUCAUUUGAAGUACCCCAAAACAUGGAGCUGGAGAUCUGCACAAGUUUUAUAUAUUAAUUAGCUUGGGACUUGACGCUAGGGGAUGUUCUUUUUGUAACGGUUUUGUUGUGCUUUUAAACAAUGUCAAGUGCGUUUAGCAGUUGCAUGACAUCUUUGAACAUCGUAAUAUAUAACUGCAUAGAUAGUAUUCAUUUGUAUAUCAUAGAGAAUAGAACUUGCAAUUUAGAUUUACGUCAAUAGUUUUUAUUUGAAGUCUUAUUUUAAUGCAUUGUUAUUAUUUAAUUUCUUAAGCUCUUUUUUUGAAAUGUUAUUAACAUGAAUUGUUGUACAUAAAUAACAUUGAAAUCCUAAUGCUGCAACUAUGUGAUGUGAACUGUGCAGAUUUUCUGUAUAGCGCAAGAAUUUGAGCCGUGCAUGGCACAAUUAAUUUUUUGUUCUUUCUGUAUGGUGGGGGUUUGUGAUUGUCGGUGCAUGUUUGGAAGUACAAUUUCCACUGGAGAAUUCGCGUUAUUUUUUUUCUCUGUAUUUGAGUGAUUCUAACAGUGUACACAACAAGGGCGAAAAAGGAUCUUAUGAUUAAUAUUAGUACUAGAUUGUAUUCAUUAAUUACGCUUAGUUUUUAUUUUCCUCUCGGAAUGUACUAGAAUGAGUCUGGCCUUAAUGUCUUUUAUAUUUUAUUCAUCUUGUACUACAA